UAAAAUAAAUAGAUCAGACACCAUAAUGCCUUUAAAACUGUAAAAUAACUAAAACAGCAACUGACCGAAAAUAUAUCAGAUUCGGGCCCCAUUAGCAACCUUAAUUAGUUAUACAUAUCUAUUAAUUCAUAAAAUAGCGUUUUAUCAUUUAUUAAGCUUUAAUGCCGUGAUAGGAAAUAGGAUGAGAGAUCCUUACUUGAUUCGAAAUCUAAGACUGGUUUUUCACUGCGCCUACGAGCGGUCCCUAGAUUCCCUGAUUUUUUUUUCGGGAACUAAAACACACUUCUGGUACCUGCACAUGUCCCCAAAAAACUCCAAAUCAGACUUGGGGCCUACUCGGCCAAUUUCAGAAAUUUCCGCACGGCUGCUCCGCUGUGCUCCAGCGACGGCGAUCC
Molecule: long non-coding RNA, 395 nt
Filed under: Carica papaya (papaya)
Lineage: Eukaryota; Viridiplantae; Streptophyta; Magnoliopsida; Brassicales; Caricaceae
Description: long non-coding RNA (CPAP_LNC001586)
Source: RNAcentral